GCUGAAAUAGUAACUUGUGCUUGGAGGAAACCUGUACACACCAGCAAGUCAUGAGGUCCAUUUGAUGCCAAUUUUUUUUCUUUCUCUCAAGAUUGUCAGGCACCUGGUUUCUCCCAGAUCAUCAGAUGGAGCCCAAUUUGUCCCUGACAUGUGUCUCACACUAUGACCCUCAUAUCAUGGACCUUCUUGCUGCUUAGCUAGUGCAAGCUAAUGACCCCAGUGCUAAACAUGAUUACUGCAUACUGGUGUGUGAAAUAAGCACAGACCUCUUUUUUUUUCAUGGGCUUUUCACCUCCAGUAUUCCAAACAGAGUGGGUGGGAGGAAACUACAGCAAGCAGUGGAAUAUCUAGAAUAUUUAGUGGGGGGGAAAGAGUGAGCCAUGUCUUCCCAGCAGCACCUCAGUGUGUCAGGCCUGGCUUUAAUCAGGGCUACCAGCCAUCAAUUUCAUGCACAAUAAAACUCAUGGCAGAAAUGAAAAGAUGUAAGGAAAGCAGACGAAAAAGACAACCAACUGUAUGUAUCAGAAAGUCUAAACAGGCCCCUUCCUUUCAAAGGGUUGCUGCCAGCUUGCUUUUAUUUAUCUUGGAAAUGAAAUCAUCAUGCAAAAAGGUUUUGUCUUAAUUAAAAUUUCCUGUUGUCCCAAGUGCAGAUGUGUGGUGGGUGUGAAAGGAAAUUAGUGAGUAAGCUGUGGGUAGACUUCUCUUUCCUGGUGAAUCCAGGCAGUAAUCAGUGAUACUAAAUUUCAGGAAGGUUUAAGUCAGGGAAAACAACACAAUCUAUCUGUUUCAAAUAAACAAAGCAAGAGAAAAAAAAGAGAAAAAUCCUUUUUCCACAUACAGCAUGAGUUCAAAUUAAAAAAAGACUAUUCAGCUCACGUAUCUAGCAGUACAAAAAGUAACAUCACUAACACAGUGCUGUCUUUAUUUUUUUUUAAUUUAUUUUUUUUUUCUUGUCAGCAGGGAUUCAAGCCAGCCUUUUGCAACCAAGACCUCAUUUACAAUUUAUGAAUUGCCCUAAGCCCAUUUCCAGGAUGAGCAGCUCCACCUUCCAUCUCUCCUGAAGAGCUCACCCAAACCCAGACUGUGGAGGAGGAGAGCUGAAGAAUGCACAAGAUUUGUGCAGGAUGGACUGGAUGCUAGUGCCACAGUGGAGUAAGGACACUUUAGCAGGCUUGUCCUUUCCUCCAGCACAACAUGAGCACUUUGUGAUGUAAGGGACUCUCCUAUCACAGACAUCAUCCUUGUAUUACAGACAAAAUCUCUUCUUUCUCAGGCAUUUUGUGUUACUGUUCUGCUCAUUUACCUUCCAGACAUCACUAGAGCCCUCUGCCACCAUCACUAAUUACCUCCAAGCAUCUGUGUGUGCCAGAAAAAUGCUCUCCUGCGUCAUUCUACUUAAACAAUCUCUCCCUCAGUGUGCAGACUCUGCCCUGUGGCCCUGUCUGGAGCAGAACACCAUGGCAGGGAUUCACUUCUUUCCAAGGGCACUGGUGUCAACUUACAGGAAUCCACUCUGAGACCUCCACAGGUGCCAAAGGAGAAAUUUGUGUACACCAAGACAACAGUAAUGACUCAAAUUGCCUGCCAUAUCGGACUGAGAAGCAUACAGCCUCCACAGUGGUCUGUCUGUCUUUACAGACGAUGGGGACAAGAAUUGCAGUGCCAUGGUGCUGGCACAUAGGUGCCUCACUCAGGUGUUGUACUCAAUCCUGCUUUCUUCCUUGGAAGGAAGAAUAAUAUCCUGACUUGACUGUACAACGUGUGAUGAUUAAGCACUUACAA
Molecule: long non-coding RNA, 1782 nt
Organism: Parus major (Great Tit)
Lineage: Eukaryota; Metazoa; Chordata; Aves; Passeriformes; Paridae
Exons: 2
Source: RefSeq, a predicted model, not a curated record